RNAcentral lists this long non-coding RNA (490 nucleotides) under Capra hircus (goat). RNAcentral describes it as "lncRNA (ENSCHIG00010010490.1)". The record is from RNAcentral. Lineage: Eukaryota; Metazoa; Chordata; Mammalia; Artiodactyla; Bovidae.
CCCUCUUAAUUGGUGAGUUGACUUCUCUAUGUGAGUCAGACACCUGAUUUCCCCACAAAGAUCUUAAGGUCUGAUACCUGCCCUCAAGAAGCAGGUGGGUGGGUGUGGGUGUGUGUGUGUGUGUGUGUGUGUGUGUAUGAGAUGAAGCUCUCAUGGUGCCAAGAAUACAGUGUGAUUCAAAGGACACCUUGAUAGGCUCUACCUGGAGCCUCAGCAAACAGAGGUGGUGAUGCUUCUGGCCAGAAAGCAAGAGCAGCCAGAAACCACAGGCCUCAAGUCUUCUCUGACCCAUGGUUCUUGCCUGGAAACAUGAAGUGCUGGUAUAUUGAACCAGUCAAACCUCAAGAAUGGAGCUGAGCAGCAUGGCCGCAUUUCAGGCAAGAAACAGCUGUGAAAUUGGACGACUCGUGGUAUCUCGGGACCUCAGCUGGCCUCUCUGUGCCUCAGUUUCCUUAUCUGUAAAAGUGAUUAAAAUUAAAUCCAUGUUCAU